AGAGUUUGAUCAUGGCUCAGAUUGAACGCUGGCGGCAGGCCUAACACAUGCAAGUCGAACGGUAACAGGAAACAGCUUGCUGUUUCGCUGACGAGUGGCGGACGGGUGAGUAAUGUCUGGGAAACUGCCUGAUGGAGGGGGAUAACUACCGGAAACGGUAGCUAAUACCGCAUAACGUCGCAAGACCAAAGAGGGGGACCUUCGGGCCUCUUGCCAUCAGAUGUGCCCAGAUGGGAUUAGCUGGUAGGUGGGGUAACGGCUCACCUAGGCGACGAUCCCUAGCUGGUCUGAGAGGAUGACCAGCCACACUGGAACUGAGACACGGUCCAGACUCCUACGGGAGGCAGCAGUGGGGAAUAUUGCACAAUGGGCGCAAGCCUGAUGCAGCCAUGCCGCGUGUAUGAAGAAGGCCUUCGGGUUGUAAAGUACUUUCAGCGGGGAGGAAGGGAGUAAAGUUAAUACCUUUGCUCAUUGACGUUACCCGCAGAAGAAGCACCGGCUAACUCCGUGCCAGCAGCCGCGGUAAUACGGAGGGUGCAAGCGUUAAUCGGAAUUACUGGGCGUAAAGCGCACGCAGGCGGUUUGUUAAGUCAGAUGUGAAAUCCCCGGGCUCAACCUGGGAACUGCAUCCGAUACUGGCAAGCUUGAGUCUCGUAGAGGGGGGUAGAAUUCCAGGUGUAGCGGUGAAAUGCGUAGAGAUCUGGAGGAAUACCGGUGGCGAAGGCGGCCCCCUGGACGAAGACUGACGCUCAGGUGCGAAAGCGUGGGGAGCAAACAGGAUUAGAUACCCUGGUAGUCCACGCCGUAAACGAUGUCGACUUGGAGGUUGUGCCCUUGAGGCGUGGCUUCCGGAGCUAACGCGUUAAGUCGACCGCCUGGGGAGUACGGCCACAAGGUUAAAACUCAAAUGAAUUGACGGGGGCCCGCACAAGCGGUGGAGCAUGUGGUUUAAUUCGAUGCAACGCGAAGAACCUUACCUGGUCUUGACAUCCACGGAAGUUUUCAGAGAUGAGAAUGUGCCUUCGGGAACCGUGAGACAGGUGCUGCAUGGCUGUCGUCAGCUCGUGUUGUGAAAUGUUGGGUUAAGUCCCGCAACGAGCGCAACCCUUAUCCUUUGUUGCCAGCGGUCCGGCCGGGAACUCAAAGGAGACUGCCAGUGAUAAACUGGAGGAAGGUGGGGAUGACGUCAAGUCAUCAUGGCCCUUACGACCAGGGCUACACACGUGCUACAAUGGCGCAUACAAAGAGAAGCGACCUCGCGAGAGCAAGCGGACCUCAUAAAGUGCGUCGUAGUCCGGAUUGGAGUCUGCAACUCGACUCCAUGAAGUCGGAAUCGCUAGUAAUCGUGGAUCAGAAUGCCACGGUGAAUACGUUCCCGGGCCUUGUACACACCGCCCGUCACACCAUGGGAGUGGGUUGCAAAAGAAGUAGGUAGCUUAACCUUCGGGAGGGCGCUUACCACUUUGUGAUUCAUGACUGGGGUGAAGUCGAAACAAGGUAACCGUAGGGGAACCUGCGGUUG
RNAcentral lists this ribosomal RNA (1522 nucleotides) under metagenome. Its description in RNAcentral is "bacterial SSU rRNA". It matches the Rfam family "Bacterial small subunit ribosomal RNA". The record is from RNAcentral.